Scomber japonicus (chub mackerel) is the source of this 555-nucleotide non-coding RNA. NCBI's taxonomy places the organism in Eukaryota, Metazoa, Chordata, Actinopteri, Scombriformes, Scombridae. The record is from the annotation of a RefSeq genome assembly.
AUGUUGGAAGUUUUUGUACGACGACUCAAUGAGUUUGUAUCACUGUGGUUGACUUUUGGUGGAGGAACCAGACUGGAUGUUGGAAGUGAUACCCGUCCCACACUGACGGUGCUGCCCCCCUCCAGUGAGGAGCUGGACCAGGGCAAGGCCACACUCACGUGUCUGGCCAACAAGGGCUUCCCCUCAGACUGGAGUCUGACCUGGAAGGUGGACGGCAGCAGCAGCAGCUGGGAUCAGAACAGGAGCCCCGCGGUGCUGCAGAAGGACGGCCUCUACAGCUGGAGCAGCACCCUGAGGCUCACUGCAGACCAGUGGAGGAAGGUGGGCUCUGUAACCUGCGAGGCCACCCACGGCUGUAAGGCUCUCUCAGAGACACUGAGGAGAGACCAGUGUUCCCAGUCGUGAUCUGACUCACUGGAAGUCUGCUACUGGUUUUACUCUGCUACUGCUCUCACUCUGAUCUCUGCUACUCUGUUGUGUUUUUCUCUCAGUCUCUUUAAAUGUUGCAGUAGUGAUGUUUCUUGCUCAGUGAUUUCAAUAUUUCUAGAAAAUAAA